Long non-coding RNA from Oenanthe melanoleuca, 962 nucleotides. RefSeq lists it as uncharacterized. The transcript has 3 exons. The record is from RefSeq and is a predicted model, not a curated record. NCBI's taxonomy places the organism in Eukaryota, Metazoa, Chordata, Aves, Passeriformes, Muscicapidae.
AAAGCACUGGCUGGAUGCUGACAGGCUGGGUGUUUAAAGAAAGCAGAAUUUAUUCUUCUGGUGGUCUGGGCAAUUUAGACACCUUUCAGACAGAAGUAGUGACCAAACAGAGAAGGAUCUGGCAGCACCACAGGAAGAGACCUCAAACUAGAAAAUCCUGAGCAAAUACCAGGGGAGCAAAGGCAAAUGGCUUGGAAGGUGCUGGUGUGACUGCUCUGUGUGGGCCAUCUUUGGGAGGAACACUGGAAGCAGAGCUGGCAGAUGUUGGGAUGAGGGAGGACAGCACUCAUGAAGAAGAUGUGUUGGAGGAAAUUCAGGAUCCCAUCUGGACAAAUACAAGAGAAAUAUUCAUUUAAAUGAAGAAUCCCUGGAAGGCACAGAGCCAGAACUUCUGCUGCUGGUGGGGAGGAGGAUGUAAUCCAAGCCCACAGGCAGGCAGAGAUGCUGGAUUCAUCAUCUCAGGUGGAGAACCACGGCUGUGUAGCCCAUCCCUGAAAUCAGAGAAGACUUUGGAAGUGGUGUUGAGCAGAGAGUCAAAGCAAAGCAGAGAUGCUGAUGAAUUCAGUACUAACCCAUGGAAAUGAGCACCUGGGAGCAGAAUUUCCCUACAGGCAUCUCAGAACUGAGCUGGAGCAGCCCCAGGGCUGCAGUGCUGGAUCUGUGCUGAGCAUGUUCUGCCCAUGGUACCUGCAAACAUCUCAUUCCAGGUGGAUGUUUGUGUAGUGAGAGUUUGGCAGAUGGAAAACCCAGUCCCCUGGGGAGCUGUGUGACACUUGAACUCAAAUUUCCUAUCAUGAAAAGCCUGUUCUCCCCCUGCACCACCCAGGCCAGUAAUUUACUUUGGCUCUGGACAGGGGAUGGGAGAGCUCAGACUGCACCAAAUCAAGAGAGCCUUCCUGCAGAGCUGAUCCAACCACUUUGCAGAGCUGCACCUAAACAUAAUAGCACUGAAAAAUACAAAC